RNAcentral lists this ribosomal RNA (253 nucleotides) under uncultured bacterium. RNAcentral's name for it is "partial 16S ribosomal RNA". It matches the Rfam family "Bacterial small subunit ribosomal RNA", at positions 524 to 776 of the family's 1533-position model. The record is from RNAcentral.
UACGUAGGGUGCGAGCGUUAAUCGGAAUUACUGGGCGUAAAGCGUGCGCAGGCGGUUUUGUAAGCCAGAUGUGAAAUCCCCGGGCUUAACCUGGGAAUGGCAUUUGGGACUGCAAGGCUUGAGUGCGGCAGAGGAGACUGGAAUUCCUGGUGUAGCAGUGAAAUGCGUAGAUAUCAGGAGGAAUACCGAUGGCGAAGGCAGGUCUCUGGGCUGACACUGACGCUCAUGCACGAAAGCGUGAGGAGCAAACAGG